CGCCGGGAACUGCGCGGCAGCAGGCCGGUGAACUCCGCCAGGACCGGAAGGUAGCAACGGUAAGUCGAACCUCUGUGCGAUGCAUUCUUCCCGGCGUUC
Molecule: signal recognition particle RNA, 99 nt
Filed under: Chthonomonas sp.
Lineage: Bacteria; Bacillati; Armatimonadota; Chthonomonadia; Chthonomonadales; Chthonomonadaceae
Description: signal recognition particle sRNA small type
Rfam family: Bacterial small signal recognition particle RNA
About the family: The signal recognition particle (SRP) is a universally conserved ribonucleoprotein involved in the co-translational targeting of proteins to membranes. Archaeal SRP consists of a 7S RNA and homologues of the eukaryotic SRP19 and SRP54 proteins.
Source: RNAcentral